This 465-nucleotide ribosomal RNA is filed under the name uncultured bacterium. RNAcentral's name for it is "partial 16S ribosomal RNA". It matches the Rfam family "Bacterial small subunit ribosomal RNA", at positions 355 to 838 of the family's 1533-position model. The record is from RNAcentral.
UGGGGAAUAUUGGACAAUGGGCGCAAGCCUGAUCCAGCAAUGCCGCGUGAGUGAUGAAGGCCUUAGGGUUGUAAAGCUCUUUCGCACGCGACGAUGAUGACGGUAGCGUGAGAAGAAGCCCCGGCUAACUUCGUGCCAGCAGCCGCGGUAAUACGAAGGGGGCUAGCGUUGUUCGGAAUUACUGGGCGUAAAGGGCGCGUAGGCGGCCUGUUUAGUCAGAAGUGAAAGCCCCGGGCUCAACCUGGGAAUAGCUUUUGAUACUGGCAGGCUUGAGUUCCGGAGAGGAUGGUGGAAUUCCCAGUGUAGAGGUGAAAUUCGUAGAUAUUGGGAAGAACACCGGUGGCGAAGGCGGCCAUCUGGACGGACACUGACGCUGAGGCGCGAAAGCAUGGGGAGCAAACAGGAUUAGAUACCCUGGUAGUCCACGCCGUAAACGAUGAAUGCUAGACGUCGGGGUGCAUGCAC